Molecule: long non-coding RNA, 193 nt
Organism: Chiroxiphia lanceolata (lance-tailed manakin)
Lineage: Eukaryota; Metazoa; Chordata; Aves; Passeriformes; Pipridae
Exons: 3
Source: RefSeq, a predicted model, not a curated record
GGGUGGUGUUCUUGGUGUUGACCCAAUCAGCACCCCUGCAAAAUUAAAACAUAUCACACCAGACCAGAAAAGAAGGUUUCUGUAGUUGUUGUUGGAGAAGUGGCCAUGUUCUGAGGCCAUGAGGAGAAGGGGCAGGAGUACCCCUUGGGGGCUAUGGUCCCCCCCAGCCCCUGGCUGAGGGGCUACAGGGACU